This 658-nucleotide ribosomal RNA is filed under the name uncultured bacterium. RNAcentral describes it as "bacterial SSU rRNA". It matches the Rfam family "Bacterial small subunit ribosomal RNA", at positions 10 to 718 of the family's 1533-position model. The record is from RNAcentral.
AGUUUGAUCCUGGCUCAGGAUGAACGCUGGCGGCGUGCUUAACACAUGCAAGUCGAACGGGGGUGCAAACCCUAGUGGCGGACGGGUGAGUAACGCGUGAGAACCUGUCUCGAGGUGGGGGACAACAGUUGGAAACGACUGCUAAUACCCCAUAUGCCGAGAGGUGAAAGAUUUAUCGCCUUGAGGGGGGCUCGCGUCCGAUUAGCUCGUUGGUGGGGUAACGGCCUACCAAGGCGACGAUCGGUAGCUGGUUUGAGAGGACGACCAGCCACACUGGGACUGAGACACGGCCCAGACUCCUACGGGAGGCAGCAGUGGGGAAUUUUCCGCAAUGGGCGCAAGCUGACGGAGCAACGCCGCGUGUGGGAUGAAGGCUGUGGGUUGUAACCACUUUUCUCAGGGACGAAGCUCUGACGGUACCUGAGGAAUCAGCUCGGCUAACUCUGUGCCAGCAGCCGCGGUAAGACAGAGGAGGCAAGCGUUAUCCGGAAUUAUUGGGCGUAAAGCGUCCGUAGGUGGGUUUGACAAGUCUGGGGUUAAAGCCCGGAGCCCAACUCCGGAUCGGCCCUGGAAACUGUCAGACUUGAGUAAGGUAGGGGUUCUGGGAUUCCCGGUGUAGCGGUGAAAUGGGUAGAUAUCGGGAGGACACCAGGCGCGA